CUACUGAGCCAUCUCCCAGCCCCCAAGACCGUUUCAAAAAGACAAAAAAUUGGGCUGGAGAGAUGGCUCAGUAG
RNAcentral lists this microRNA precursor (74 nucleotides) under Octodon degus (degu). Its description in RNAcentral is "miRNA (ENSODEG00000022721.1)". The record is from RNAcentral. Lineage: Eukaryota; Metazoa; Chordata; Mammalia; Rodentia; Octodontidae.